This 254-nucleotide ribosomal RNA is filed under the name uncultured bacterium. RNAcentral's name for it is "partial 16S ribosomal RNA". It matches the Rfam family "Bacterial small subunit ribosomal RNA", at positions 524 to 777 of the family's 1533-position model. The record is from RNAcentral.
UACGAAGGGGGCUAGCGUUGUUCGGAAUCACUGGGCGUAAAGCGCACGUAGGCGGAUCUUUAAGUCAGGGGUGAAAUCCCGAGGCUCAACCUCGGAACUGCCUUUGAUACUGGGGGUCUCGAGUCCGGGAGAGGUGAGUGGAACUGCGAGUGUAGAGGUGAAAUUCGUAGAUAUUCGCAAGAACACCAGUGGCGAAGGCGGCUCACUGGCCCGAUACUGACGCUGAGGCACGAAAGCGUGGGGAGCAAACAGGG